CGCUGGCUAGAGGAACCGCCAUUUCAGAUCGUAAAAUUCAAAAAUAUGUCGCGAGGAACAAGCGCUGAAUGCGAUCGACAUAUCUAAUAUUUUUUCUCCCGAAGGGCGACUUUAUCAAGUUGGUAAGUGCUUCAUUAUGUGCUUGACUACGUUAUAAACAUGUUUUGUAAAGUUUUACACUUGUUUCUAUUCGCAGAAUAUGCGUUUAAUUAAAGCUAUUAAUCAAGGGGACUCACACGUGUUUGGGUUCGCGAGCUGACUCAGCAGUUGUAGUGACACAGAAAAAAGUGCCGUUAAGAUUUUGUAAAUUAUAUUUUGUUUGCUUUGGGAGUUAUAUAGUACUACAGUUGGCAAGUAUUUAUUGUUUGUUGCAGUUGUUGGGUGUUCAUGAGGAAUCAAGAAUGGGCAUUGAACCAGUGGCGCCAUGGGACCCGAGAUGGGACCCAUGUUUUUGGGGGGGCCAAGGGCAGUACUACAAAAAAUUUUUCUGGACAGCAACAUUUUAAAUCUUCAAGCCCCCCCCCCCCAUUGACAACUUUGACAAUUUCCGACAACAUCGACAAUUUUCCGACAGGUCUCAACAAUUAGGGGGGCCAUGGCUCCCUUGGCCCCCUCUGGCACGGCGUCACUGUAUUGAACUAUAAGUAAACUGGAACCAUAAGUUGGUCGCCAUCUUUGAAGCUGGUUAUGAGUCAAUCUCGUUCCCAGAGUAUGCCUGUUCGCGGGUUAUGUUGUGGCAUGACUCUGUGGAAGUCCAAAAUGAGAUAAAUGGCGCAUGCGCUUUUAUGCUUUUGUUUAUUCUGCUUACUAAAUUCGCGCGGGCACACGCUCACAAUCGAUAUAUUUGUUUGAACAAAUUCUCAUAUAUAGUAUACAAAAUAUUUUUUAUACGUGCUUCAAAUCACACUACUAUUAAAUUAUAUUCAAUGGCAAAUAUUGAAAGAGCUAGUAAUAAUUAAAGCUGCUCUAGGGAAAAGAGAGCUUGAAUUUUCAUUAAAAGAUGAGACAUUCAAAUGUAUCUCGGCCAUUGUAAAAUGAUGAAGAUGUUUUGGUCAUUUUGCCAACAGGUUAUGGGCUUAUUAUGGCAAAUAUUAAAAUAUUUCAGCUGCUACCUGAUGUGUACAACAUGUUACUUGGCGUAUUAAACCAAUUAUAUUGUGAUAGUCAUAUAUCUCCACUAAAUGCACUGACUGAUGCAAGAUCAAGUGGCUAAAAUGAAUGACCAAGGCAUUUCUGCAUGCAUAAUACAAGGCCAUUCUGUGCUACACUAUACUAUCAUGGUGAUGGCAGCAAUAUCAAAUUACCAUUGGAUCGACAUGAGAAUCCAACGUAUAAGCUGUUCUAUAUGCACCCAGAAAUGUGUGUCUAUGACAAGAAAAUACAAGCUUUUUUCAACUGUAUGAUGUAAACCUCUGAAUAUAACGUUCACCUCAUUCCAAAUAUAAGCCCCCCACCCUGAAUAUAAGUCCCCUGAAUAUAAGCCCACUAUGUUAUUCAACAUUGACAUUGUCUUUUAAAAUAGCAGAGAAUGAUAUUUUAAAACAUUGUCAUUAUCAAUUGGCAUCCUAGAUGUUUGCAAAAUAAAUUUUUAUUUAACUGCUAUGUUUAUGUUUCAUUACCACCAUCUUAAGAAUCUAUCAGAAGUUUUUGAAAAUUAUUUUUUGUAACAAAUAAUCAGAUCCAUCAAUACAACACAAGAAAUGCAUCAAAAUUAAACUCUGUAAGUGUUAUAAGAGAACAAACUAUGUAAAACACAGUCUAUCUAAUAAAGGAAUUGAUAUUUAGAAUUCAUUAGAACCAAAAUGUAAAGGCACAAACUCCUAUAAUGUCUUCAAGAAAGAAAUGAAACAGUAUUUUUUACUGAAUCCUGUAUAAAAUUAUACGGUCUUCAUUUUUUAUUGAUAUUUUAACAUAAAUAUUUUAUUGUAGUACUCCUGCUUUAUCUAUCCUUCUUAAAUUGUAAAUAGCAUAUAUUCUAAUUUUUUCAUUAUCUUUAACUGUAAAUAUAUUAAUUAACCUGAUUAUGAACCACAACUACAACUAGGGGCCUAAACCAAAAAGCCUGUAAAGGUUUCUAGUAGGUCCCUAGCCCAAAUCAUUAAAAGAAAAUAUUUGUAGUUAUUAAAAUCUGUACAUAUAGGGAAAAAGGGGUUAUAGUCAGAGGUUUACAGUAUUAUAAUAUAUCACAUAUUUUAAUAAUAAACACAUUUAUUUAUUUUUUUAUAUGAUAUUACAUUAACAUAUAUAGAUGGAGCACAUAUAAAGUCUUUAAAUGACAGUACACUUUUUUUUUUAAUUAUAAUUACUCGUGUAAUUACAAAGUAAAAAAUGAAAUGAACAAGGCCAUAUAUAUUUGUUGAAAGUUUGUUGCAGUGGAUAUCUCCCAUUUGUUUUUCACACUGUGUAUCUUUGAGCAUUUAAUCAGCAACUAAUUAUAGGCAAGGAUGUAUUUACUAGCUUAUUACUCUAUAUUACCAGGUACAUCAACCUUGCAAUCCACACUUUAACCCCUGCAGUUGCCCCCUCUCAUGCGGCUGCAGCUUGUUUGGGAAGGGAGAGGAAUGAAUGGAGGUACUGUAGUUUCUAUAUUUAGCCUCCCUCUCUUUAAGCCCCUUUCCAAUACCCCCUCUCAUUUGGAUACAAAAAUCAAAAAUAAAUAACCCCCCUCUUUUAACCAUGCAGCCCCCAUUCAAUUAACUCUUCAAAUCGUGGAUUAUAUUGCAUUUCUGCAGUAUUUUAAUAAAAUAUAGUACAACGGCAAUUCUGGAUAUGGACAUUUUUUAAUGGUAAGCAGAUUUAUUGCAUAUAUUUAGAACAAGUGCUCCCUCAAUGAUGCUUGGGGGAAAAUAACACCCAGGAGGCUUGAUACAGAAAUUAAAGUAGUUAUUUGAUUGAAACUGGUAGCUAUUUAAAUUCACCACUUUUUUAUCCAGACACAAAUGUCCCAGUAACUGCUACCUUGAUGCAAAAAUUAUUUCAGGUUUGGAUAUGUAGAUAGUACUAGUAGGUAUUGAGUAUAGGCUGUGGAUCGUGAUUUAAGAGAAUUAUUUAUAAAGUUUGGACAUGCAAACGUUCACAAUUGUAUAUAUCUACUAUAUAUGUAAAUGUAACUAAUCUGACAGUGUAACCAGGUGUGUAACAAGUUGUUUGAAAAAUGUAUAUAUGCAUGUGUAACAUCAAGUAAGUUGGGCAGCGUAAAUAUUGGGUAUUCUAUUAUAUGUAUUUGAAAGGCUUAGGCCGGAAGGUUAUAAUUUUGUUUUACAUUUAUAUACAGUGGAAUAGUAAUGUGUAUGCACUCACUUGAAUCACGGCUUGAAUGGACCUUGGUUACGUGUUCGCCUUUUAGUAAGUAAAACGGAGAUUAUUUUCAUUAUAAAAAAAAACGUUAAAAAAAAGUUAAAAUUAAAGUGUGAAAAUGACAGCAAGUGAAUGUCAUGUAAUAGCCUAAUAGUAUUUAAAUAAUAUUAAAAAUUCAAGGAUAAUUCAAUGAAAUUUAAUUAAAUGAUAUUUAAUUCUAAUAAUAUUUUAAUAAAUUAAAUUCGAUGAUAUUUAAUUCUAAUAAUAUUUUAUUUCAGUGGCAGUGUUAGGGCAGUUACAUACAGCAGCACAAAACCUAAGCCGCUCUUUUACAAUAUUUCCAAAAGUCAUCGAUCCUCGCGCGCGCGAGGGAGCUCCUUAAGAAUUUGCUUUUUAGCAAGUCCAAAAACAUUGCUUUGGAGCAAAAACUUAUAAUAAAGUCGUCUAAGAGUAUCAGGAACUUGGAUUUGUGAAUUUUUGGAGAUUUUGAUUCAAGAAAGCGUCGUUUGGAGUGGUUUUUUGCAUCGAAAGUCAGGGGAUUUUUGUCUUAGCAUUUUACGCGAGUUGAACGUUUGCUUACGCCACACGUCAUCGUCAUCAACGGUCAUCGCAAACACGCAAUUAAAUCCGUACGUAAUCAAAUUGAAUAAAUCAAAACAAUCGGAAUAAAUUACGCGAGUGUAAGCUUUGAAUUCAGAAAUGGUUCCAAAAUUCACUUCAGAUGGGACGAAAAAUCUAGCAAAGAUUGGACGCUUCAUAACUAAUAUAUUACUUCUUUUUUCAAUUUUGAAACUGUGUGUGAAAGUUAAUCGAAAUGCUAAUAACACCCAAAUUACACCAGAAAACAUUUUAAUCUGCUCCGAACUUGUUUCUCUGCCUGAAAAACUAUACUAUGUUUGUGUAUCCACCCGUGACGUUGUUUUCAGAAAAUAUAACUUACCAUGCAAUAACCAGCAUCGCUACGGCUUAAACUUACAAAUUAACCGUAAGAUCUCACAUGCGUCUAUAUUGCUCUUGCUUGCCGGAGAUAUCGCAACGAAUCCUGGACCUUACAAACACACGGAUCGUGUAAAUCGGUUCAUAAAAUGUCUUGCACUCAAUGCUCGAAGUCUGAUGAGUUUACAUAAAACCAACAUCGGAAACAGCUUAACAGAUACCAACAUUGAACGCUUCCAGAACUUGGUCUAUUCCGAAAACCCCGACAUUGUUUGUGUCAACGAAACGUCGCUUAACGAGGAUAUUAAAAACUCGGAAAUUCUGCAUUCGGGAUACGACAUAUUCAGAAAGGAUCGCGAAUCUCGUGGUGGUGGAGUACUGUUAGCGAUAAAGAUUUCGUCAUUCAAAUCAGUGCGGGAAAUUCAACAUGGUCAUGAUUUGGAGAUCGCCGUGGCUGAAAUAACAACCACUUCAAACGCAAGUUUAUUAAUUUGUUCUUGUUAUCGUCCAUCAAACUCAGAUCAUAGUUGGUUGGACAAGUUCAAUAACUUUAUGGGUGAUGUUUGUUUGGGACACUCAAACAUUGUGCUUGCAGGAGAUUUCAAUAUGCCACAUGUAUCAUGGGAUUCGCCAGAGAAAACAUCAGGUGGUAACGAAAAUACCUUCGUAGAACUGCUCCAUGACCAUUUCUUGGAACAACUAAACACCGCGCCUACUAGAGGUAACAACACGUUAGAUCUCGUUCUUACCAAUAUUCCCAACAAAGUCAAAAUAUGUGAAAUUUUGUCUCCAACUCAAGCAGAACUUUUCACUGAUCACAACAUUAUUGUGUUUGAACUUUCAUUGUGUCAUAAUCAACUGCCAAAGAUACGCAGAACUGUCUAUAAUUACCGUCAAGGUGAUUUUGCUGGCUUACGAACUUCCCUUGAAUGUCUAAAUCUGGAUUCCCUGAUUACAACUGACGACAAUAUCAACCACGACUGGCAACAAUGGAAGAACGCGUUCCUAGAAGCAGUAUCCCAACAUAUACCAUUUACGAGAGUAGAGGGUCGAAACUAUGUUCCGUGGAUGAAUUCUACAAUUCUACACAACAUCAAGAAGAAAAACUCUCUCCGCCUCAGAAUUAAGAAAUCCCAUACACCAACUGAAUAUCUCGUUGAAAAGCUCAAAACCCUUCGUAGUUCCAUCAAGCGCAUGUUACGUAACAGUCGCUCCAAAUAUUUCGACUCUAUUUGUUCCAGCCGUGGGCUUAAUCCCAAACGCUUCUGGUCCCUGUUCAAGCUCAAUAAUAAGACCCGGAACAUUCCUCAAAAGCUCUCGGUGAAAGUAACUGAAACCAAAAGAGCAUUCGCGGGAAAUCCAGCAGAUAUUGCCACCCUCUUCAACAACUACUUCACAUCUAUAUUUACCACUGAUCCAACUAUCGAAAACUGCAGCCCUGAAGCUCUUCCAUAUCAGUUUAACAAUACUAUCAUCGAGGACAUUACCCUUUCGGAAGCCGACGUUUUCUCCGUAUUGCAUAAUCUCGACAUUAAUAAAGCUCAAGGUCCAGAUGGGAUUCCUGCACGUUUGUUAAAAGAAACAGCUCGCCAAAUUUCUCCGUCACUAACUGUCUUGUUUAAUAAAUCUCUGAGCACUGGCGUGUUACCACACGACUGGAAACUAGCAAACGUUGUUCCCGUCCACAAAAAAGACAACAAAGAGCACGUAGAAAACUAUCGACCGAUUUCGCUUCUUUCGCUUAUCUCGAAAGCAUUGGAAAGAUGCGUGUUCAAUAAGAUCAAAGACCACGUUUUCGAACAGAUUAACAACGGUCAACAUGGCUUUGUUCCUCGGAAGUCCUGUGUUACACAGCUCAUUGAAGUCUUUGAGUAUAUUGGUCGUGAGCUGGAUCUUGGGAAACAAGUUGAUGUGAUCUACUUGGAUAUGUCCAAGGCGUUUGAUCGAGUAAGCCACAUGCAACUGUUGAAACGACUUCGUGAUUUUGGAUUCGGUGGAAAUAUUUUAAAGUGGUUUAGAUCUUACCUCAAGGACCGUCGGCAGCAGACUACAGUACUUGGUGCAACAUCAUCAGCACUACCAGUAACCUCCGGAGUUCCACAAGGCUCAAUCCUUGGACCGCUACUGUUCCUAUUAUAUCAGAAUAAUCUCCCCAACUCCAUCAACCACUCGAAGAUCGCGACGUUUGCUGACGACACAAAGAUUUACAAGGUGAUAAACGCGAAGGCUGAUGCAUCCGCUAUGGAGAAUGAUCUUGCGAACUUCCAAACUUCCUGUGCCAAUGCUAAUCUUCUCCUCAACACAGAUAAAUGUAAGACACUUCGAAUUACUAGAAAACGCAACAAAAUCGACCAUACAUACAAAUUGCACGAUUCCGCUCUGAAAACCACAGAUUGCGAACGUGACCUUGGCGUCUGGAGCUCCUCCACCCUCACAUGGUCCAAACAAGUCCUCCACCAGUGCACCCAAGCCAACAAAUCCCUCGGGUAUAUUCGACGGUCCACGAUCAAAUUCAAGACCAUCUCUGUUCGUCGGACUCUAUAUCUUACCCUCGUUCGUUCCCACCUCGCAUACGCGUCCCAAGUCUGGGCUCCACAAACUGUUGAUCUCAUUAAGCGUACAGAACGCGUUCAAAGACGUGCGUCAAAAUACAUAUUGAACCUACCCUUCUUCUGUGACAUCAGCUAUAACCACCGUCUCGCAACAUUGAAUCUACUACCUUUGUGUUACUGGCAUGAGUACCUAGACAUAUUGUUCCUUUUCAAAUCACAUCAUGACAUUAUUAACCUAAGCAGCGACAUACUACCAUACCCUCAAAAUUCAAGUCAACGUACCCGUUCUACAAAUCCUGACUGCCUACAAUUUCAGACUUCAGCAUGUAAAACAUCUACCUAUCAAAAAUCCUAUCUAAUAAGGACUACUAGAGUCUGGAACACACUGCCAAGGGAUUUAGUUACUAUUAAUGGCAUGGCAACCUUAAAGGAGUUUAAAAGUAAGUUGUAUAUCUAUUAUAAAACAGCAUUAGAUAAAUGUUAUGACGUUGACGAUCCACGAACAUGGAAAACGGUUUGCUUAAAAUGCAAUCAAGCUCGCGACCUUACAAGGCCGAUAACGUGUUGUUUUUAUAUUUUAGUAGUUUUCAGAAGUAGCUUUUCGCAUUGGUAUCUAUGGGCCUAUCCAGGGUUUUGCUGAAGGUUUAGGAUUGUGAGGGUUAAACGUCUUCCGAUUCAGUCAGCUUCCGAAACUAGAAGUGGUCAUGCGGGUCGCAAUGUGUAAAGUUGAAUCUGAUAUAGUUCGUUAAUAAUUGAUUUUUCUAUGUACGUAUAUAGUGUAUUUGUCUAACAUUUAGGGAUCGCAGUAAUUGGCGCAAGCUGUUGCGAUUGCCCUGCCAGUUUUUGUGUUAACGUUAAUUGUUUGAAUCUGGCAAAGUUAAUAAAUUAAAUUAAAAUUAAAUUAAAGUUUCACGCGAAAGACGGCCAUACGUGUUGAAUAUUGAUUAAAAAAUUGGUGAAAACAUAUUCAUUUCACAGAUCUAAGGCUGGUAUACUUUAAUUUAGGGUUUUAUAAUUAGUUGCGGUACUAAUCAUCCUCCUCAAUCCCCCCCGUCGCCAAAACAAUUUCAGUGUACCAUUUUAGGGGUCCAAAAAUUUUUCGGACAUACCUAAAUUUUCCGGAACAUUCAACAAAUUUUCCCCAAAAUCGAAAAAUUGGCAUAAUUUCCCACAAAUUUGUCCCAUUUAUUUUUAUAAUAACCAAAUAUUGCCCGACUGUGAAGCGAAUACUGACAUUUUGUUUAGUUGUUAAUUGAAUUUUGCCAGCCCACCUCCGGUCAUAAAUAAUUAUAUAUUUUUACAUAUAUAUAUUCUUACAUGUAAUAUUUUUUGAAUUAUUUCGUUAUUAAAUAUUAUAACGGUUACAGUAAAUAUUUCGUAUAAAAUAUUCAAAAUAUAUAGACCAAUUAUAGGUCGACACGGUUUGUUGCGCGGUGCACAUGGUAUUUGCUAUUGCUGUCAGUGCUCUCACUUUUAAGGAAUUAUCCUUAAAAAUAGGAAUUUUGAAGAGUUUUAAGGAUUUUUUUAAGGAAUUUAGGUUUUUGAGGAUUUUUUUAAGGAAUUUCCGAAACAUUUUAUCCUGGACGGAGAAUAACCACGCCACGCAAAUGAGAUUUAAACUUGAAACACACUAUAUGCACAUAAUUACAUAUAUUCGUAUGUUCUCUAUGUCGUAUAAAAUCUACAUAUGGCUGUCUUUCCAUUAAAAUUCUCAAAAGUUAAAUGUCAGUGUAUGCUGUUUCUUCUGAAAUCUACAGAUUUUCUAAGUUCUCAGGGCCGUAGCGACCGGGGGAGGGAGGGUGCAACACCCCUAAUAUUGCUCAUGAACAAUUUCAGGUAGAUUUCCUGUAGAUUUUCAGGUAAAUUCAGGUAAUUCUCAGGGCAUAAAAAAGUGAACUCUAUAAUCUGAAUUAGAGUUAACAAUCAAACGUACUAAAUACGUUGAGACUUGUUGUGGUAGGGGGCAAUUGCGAAAUACCCUUUCUGACGAUCUGGAGACUCCAAAUUUCCAAAAUUUUCUCAAUUUCCUAUUAAACUGAAAGUAGCAAUACUUAUCUUCAUUGUUAGGCAAUACUAGUAAAAUAUUGGGUAGGAAAGACUCUAAAAAUGCCAUUUCCGACGGUCUAGAGACUUCAAAUUUUCAAAAAUACGGUUUUAAAAAACGUUCAAUCUGAAAAAUUCUGAAAAAAAACACUUUUUGCAACUAUGUGAUCAGGCCUUGUAGUAAUUUUACCAUUUUAAGGAAAUCUGAGGAAUUUUCGAGUUUUUUCUAAGGAAUUCGAAAAUUUGACUGUGAGAGCACUGAUUGCUGUAUUGCAUCAGCCCUGAUAGCAAUUGCACAAGCCAUUGCGUGCACGACGGAAGUUGGAAGUGUUGAACUGCUUUAUACUAUUUUAAUAUCAGGUUAAUUUAAAAGAAGUACAUUGAAAUCAGGUAAAACGUUAUUUCACUCCUAUCCUACUGUUUAUAGUGUAGUAGUGGCAUCUUAGCCUUUCUUUAUAUGUGAUAUGAAACUCCGUUAGUCCGAUGGAAUUAAGGUAUCAGUUUACCGUCGCCUAAAAUUUCAAAAGUUGAUGCGGAUUUUUUUCAUUAUUCAUUAUUUUUCACGAUUUGAAUUUGUCAAAUUUUGAGCUAAAAAUCCGAAUUUCGACCGAAAAAGUUCCAAGAAAAUUUUGACGAUUCUUGAGCUUUUUGCUAGCUUCCGAGCUAUCAGCUGUCUUUGACUCUACGUUUCGCUUGGCUGACUAUAAACUGUAUAAACAAAGUCAAUGACAGUGUUCCAAUAAUUUCAACAGAAAGCCAUUUUUGAAACACUUGCUAUACAAGUUUUACAAAUAAUGAAAAAUAUUGAAAUAAUGAAAAUUUCACGCGGGCUGCCAAUAACACACGGUAAACUGAUACGCCAAUCCCAUCGUGUGUACUGUGUAAGACACGUGUACAAUGUCUUGCUUCGUUGCCAGGCUGUUGUGUAUGUUGCUGAUUUAUGUUGUUUCUCGGACUCAUUUCUAAGUUGGAAGUAUUGCAUGCUAUCAAGGCUAGCCUAUAAAAAAGUAUAAUGAUUAAAUGUAAAUAUUAAGCAAGGGUUUUACCCUGCAAGCAAAGCCUGAUUUCUUCCGGGAAAGUGAAGGGCAGUAGAAAGUUUAAGCUUCGCUUUAUACGACAAACGGCAGGCAAAUAAAAAUUUUACGGUAUCAGGCAAUAAAGUGUAAAUGAACUUGCUGUUUUAAAACACGAAAUACAUAAUUAUUCUUUCGACACAAGAAACGUUCAACGAAAACGUUCAACAAAAAUUUUGCCAAGAAAAUUCGAACCUGCCUUUUGCCGUUCCCGGAAAUGUGAAGCUUAAACUCCCUAAUGCUUCUACAAACACAUUCAAAAGUAGGUACGCGACGCGUACAUGUAUCUACGAAAAAACUUGAUUCACAUUUUGUAUUUUCUUGAAAAGGAACUGAAUAAUGAAGAUGACAUGGGGCAAUUGAAAUAUUUCAUCACUUAUUAUAUAAUAGCGAAUAAGAUUUUAAAGUCGAACAUAAUAGACAUGUCUAAUAUUAGAUGUGUCUAAUAGGGCUGUCACAGUGCGGAGGGCGACAGGGGCAACUGCUGCCGAGAAAAUUUAACUAAUUUUAUGUGAAUUUAUGUGGUGUUUCCACAAACAAAACUAUUAUAAUUUUAUGUGAUUAUAAUGAUUGUAACAGAUUAUGCAGUCAGGAAAUAAAAAUUUCAUGCAAACAAUAUUCGAAGUGCCUAUACAAGUCGGCAUGCAGCUGGUUAUUUAGUAAUCUGUCACUUGUCAAUCCCCAUACUCGUUAAAUUUUCAAAACUUUAUUGUAAUCAUAUGAAGCAAACGUUCUGUCACUUGUUGUUUACACUUGGCAAUGCUAACUAUUGAGUAACAUACACUUGUAAAGUAUUCGAGGAACAUGCAUUACUGUAGAAAUGAGUCAAUCAUAUAUCGACUAGACCACUGAAUAGUAGAGAAUGUUUUAAAGGUCAUGAUUGAAGUAUAUAAUUCAAUUCCAAUCCUGUGCACAGUUAAUGAUAUACCACACUGUUCGGUUUAACCACAGCAUAUCCACACAAAAACAAUUUGUGUUGUGGGAGAAUAUCUGUUUGAGUAGAAGGUAUCACAAGUUUAGUUUUGUAAAUAUAUUGUGUGCCAUUGAUCUGAUCCAUCCAUAUAAUUAUUAAAUGUAUUAUUGUAGCUGUUAAGUUAUUUUCCAUACUAAUGAAUUUAGGUAAGAUUGUCUUGCAACUGCAAGUGGCCAUUGUUCUGACAAAAUUAUCCAGACAUUAAUAUCCAGUCCAUUUAUUCAUUCUUGUAUCAGUCUCUAAACAAAAACAUUUAUGUUAGGGAGCAGUCAUUAUUAAUGCCUUUCUUCACUUAAAAUAUUUCAAAUAUGUAAUACCAAAACCAAAACAUUCUAUUUUAAUUGUUCUAUUUUAUACAAAUUCUAUUAUUUAUUAUUAGUUAUACUUUUUAACUUUUGUGAAUUUUAUUAUUUGAACAAUAGUACUAGAUGAAAUUCAGCACUAUAAUGCCUACAAUAUAAAGGUGAUUUUUGAGAAUUACAUUAUUCCCACAUAUUUUGUUUAUUGAUGUUGUGCUGCAAGUUACUUUAUAAUAGUACCAUGCAAUUCACUUGCACAGAUUACACAAUUUGAAAAAUGGCAAUAAGCAUUUUGAAACCAGACUGCCACCAAAAUUUCAAAAGCUGUCAGUGGGGUGUGGAGGAGGGGCAUGCCCCAAGGCUUGCACUUAACCAACAUUCACAUGCACGGUCCUGGGCAGAACCCUGAUUAGGUGUUGGUGUGCAUUGCAAUUCACAGCAAGACGUUUCUGUACUUUGAAAAAUAUUUUACGACAGUGUGGGCAUGUGGCCAUUGUAAUCCUCGCAUAGUAGGUGAUUUUGGGGCACGAAAGUCUGUCAAAACGCAACAUUGAAUUAAUUGGCUGUCGGCCUGUAAAUCACUUUUCAUAUUUCAUUUAAUGUUCUGAACAAUAUUACCCUGGAUUCCAGAGCCUUCGACAGUAAAUAAUAAAUUGAAAUGUCGCGAAGGCUCUGGUUCAACGGGGCGAUUCUUUGAUUAAACCGCGCCAAACACAAAACAGAAUUAGUGGUUUUAGUACAGAAUCCAGUGUAGAACAAUAUGUGAAAAUUGCAGAAUUUACGUGAAAUGCAUCGGGAGAAAAGCUUGGUUGCUAAAUGUCACCCCUCUCAACUUCAAAAUACAAACAUUUCUGAAGCUGAAGCAGAAAUGUGUUGGACUUUCAUGGUUGCCCAUGUUGUUUCCCAAUUACAUACUCUGUCUUGAAGGUAUCCAUUUUUCGUCGUAUGGAAUUGAAAAUGAACAAGAUGGCUAAAUUUCUGCAUGUCGAAUCUUCUCCAGAACGCAGGAACAUGAUGUUAUUAUUUCAGAAACUAUAGAUAUUGAAAUUUUUCAGGGAAGCACAUGCCAACUAAAACAUCCCACCACCUAUUGUAUAAUGGCCAUGUUGCCCCUUUCCAUUACAAUUUUGAUAUUACGAUCAAACAACCUUCAUACAAUAUUACAGUUACUCCAUGUGAACGUGUGCAUAUAGUGAGGGUUCAGAGCAAGUGCCUUUCACCUGUGGCGGACACUUCACGAAAUAUUGGGGGGGGGGGGUCAACAUGCAUGUCAAAUGGGGUUUCGGUGUCCGUUUAAGGCUCUAAAUUAUGCGAAUCGUUCAGAACAUAGAUCACUUGAUGAAAUGAAUAAAGAGUACCGAGUUAUGCCAUUUGACUGACAUUAGAUACUUUUUCUAAGAUAAUUAAUUAUGUCCAUUAGUGUUGUUUAAUGUACAGUCAUAACUAUCAAUUCUAUAAAUGGUUUAAAUAUUUUUAUCAGUAGAGCUGCAAGGAAUCCUGCACAGAACAAAACAGAUUGUAUAAAAUGCGUAUGUUGCGGCAUCAUUGGCAAUCAUUGCACAGUAUCAUAUGCUUGCUAUAUGGCUAACUUAAUUAGCUUAAGUUUUAUUUAAUAGUCGUUAUUUAUAAUAUGACAAUUACGUUAUAUGGGUAUAAAUUGUAUGCUUGCCACUUGCUCCUAAACAAUGCUUGUGAAUUGUGAUAUUUGGUACCAGACUUUAAUAAGAGAUCGUUGGUUCGUUAAUUCUCUCGUUGCCCACUCAUGUGAAAAGAGUCAGUCAUUAACGCUUUGCCGAAAGUAGUGCACGUGGGCUUUCUCCGUGUACUCUUAUGUCUUCCCACAGGGAAAGUUGACAGGGCCCGGGUUAUGAUAAGCUUAGUAGGUAUAGUCAAGAAAGUAAGAUCACAAUUGUUGUAAAGAUAAAAUAGUCUAGGUUAAGUAUAUAAUUAGAUUAGCGCGUAAUACUUGAUAUCAUAUAGAAUUUGCGCAGCAGAAAUCUUAUUUUUCAUCCCUGUAAUGUUGUUUUAAAUAUCCGCGCUGCAGCGCUAGUUGUACUCCUUAUAUUCAUCAUAUUUUAAAACAAAUAUUUUACUGCACUCUAAUUUAAUUUCGCCAGCAAACUGUUAUGAGUAUAAGGGUAAUAUGGCAUGGCAAAAGUCCAGAGCGUGCGAUAUUCAAGAAAACUAGGUGUAUCCUAGGAAUUUGCCAGUUUGGUUGGGGCGGGGCGAAGCUACGACUGGACGAAUUUUUUCAAUGUAAAGUCGAGAGUAACUAAUAAUUGAUAUAAUGGAAAAUUGUUUAUUGUGGAGUGGGGAUUGAAUUAGUGCUACCUUGUCCCAGGGCCACCAAGCAUGCAAAAAUGUUUGCCUCUAAUAAUGUUAAAUUACUAACCUGACUAAAUAAACCAUUUAAUUUAGAUUUCUAAUUUUUUUUCCAAAGUGAAGCAACAUGUGUGGCAUUUGGGCAAUAUUUGGAACCUCCGAAGAUAUCUCGGAUUAUUUUAACUGCGCCUUAAAAAUUGCUCAUCGUGGUCCUGAUUGUUUUCGUCUAGAGAGCAUACCAAGUUUUGGUAACUCAUGUCUGGCCUUUCAUCGCCUUGCAGUUGUCGACAGCGUCUACGGAAUGCAACCGAUGCGAGUGUUUUCCCUUCCCCACCUCUAUGUUAUCUACAAUGGUGAGAUUUAUAACCACAAAGCAUUGGGAAAGCAGUAUGGCUUUAACUACCACACCAAGUGCGAUGGAGAAGUAAUUUUGCAUUUGUAUAACCAAUUUGGAGGUGAGAAAACGGCGCAAAUGUUGGACGGUGUUUUUGCGUUUGUUAUUGUAGAUACAACAAAGAAGGAAAUCCAUCUUGGCCGCGAUACUUUUGGCGUUCGACCGAUGUUUAUGCUAAAGACGGGAGAUCAAUGUUUAGCAAUCUGCUCUGAAGUCAAGGGUUUGUUGAAGUUGCAGAAAGAUUUGGAUGGUAUAAAAUCUGUUAUCGAGCCCUUUCGUCCCGGCCAUCAUGCAGGCUUAUCUUUCAACGAUGAUGGAGUGGCAACGAUAAAGAAGAUGGCGCCUUACACAAGCUUGACCAAGAUACCAGAAUUUGAUUUCUCGGUGAAAGUGAAAAGUGACAUUAAAGAGAACAUUCGAGCACUGUUUACUGAAGCCGUUCGUAAACGUCUCAUGUCUGAUCGACGCAUAGGUUGUCUUUUAUCUGGAGGUCUAGAUUCCAGUCUUGUUGCUGCUGUGUUAGUGAAACUUGCACGUGAAUCUGGUAUAUCUUAUCCCAUCCAGACGUUCUCUGUCGGAAUGACUGGAAGCACUGAUCUUGCCGCCGCCAGAAAGGUUGCUGACUUUCUGGAUACAGAACAUCACGAGUUGGUUUUCACUCCAGAAGAAGGUCUGGCUGCUAUCCCUGACGUCAUAGAGUAUUUAGAAAGUUAUGAUAUCACUACAGUAAGGGCUUCAGUUGGAAUGUAUUUAAUCAGUAAAUACAUUCGUGAGGAGACAGAUACUGUGGUAAUAUUCUCUGGUGAAGGUUCUGAUGAACUAGCACAGGGUUAUAUCUAUUUUCAUAAAGCCCCCUCUGCUGAAGAAGCUGAUGUUGAAUCGAAACGUCUCCUAGAAGACCUUUACCUCUACGAUGUCCUUCGCGGUGAUCGUUCUACUGCUGCCCAUGGCUUGGAAAUCCGUGUUCCAUUCCUCGAUGUUGCUUUCACAUCCUAUUUUCUCUCCUUAACACCCUCUAUACGUCAACCUCAUGAAAAAGUUGAAAAGUAUCUUCUGCGUUCUGCAUUUGACGAGGAAGGUUUACUUCCAAACGAAAUCCUUUGGCGGCCUAAAGAAGCUUUCAGUGAUGGCGUAUCAUCCACCAAAGCUGGCGAGUCUUGGUACGAGAUUAUCCAGAAGCAUUGUACGAAGAUCGUGAGUGAUAUUAAGUUGGAGACGGCAGCAGAGCGGUAUCCAUUCUGCACUCCCAAGACCAAGGAAGCGUAUUACUACCGCAAAAUCUUCGAGAAUAAAUAUCCUGGGCAGAGUCAUUUAAUUCCCUAUAUGUGGUUGCCCAAGUGGUCUGAAAGCCAAGAUCCGUCUGCACGUACCCUGGCUCAUUACACUCAGGAAUGAAGUGAGACUAGAACAUGAAACAGUAGUUUCCUAUCUUAAAUGGCUACUGAUUUAAACUUAUUUAUUUGUAUAUCUCGUUCUAGAGUUAAAAUUCGUUGUAAAUGUUAAUAUGAUAAGCAGAACAUUGGGACAAAUGGCACUGUAUUAUGCAUGUCUAAUAGUUGUUAAUAUCCAUUAAAGGGCUGUUUAUAUGUGGCGAGCUAGCUCAGCUGCUUUGUUUUGGCCCGUCUGAAUAGUCUCAUGUAAGAACAACUGAAGUUCGUCUCGGGAAAGCGAGUUAGCUCGGUCUAAAAACAGCCCUAAAGAAAGUGGUUUCUACCAUUAGGAUAAAGAUAAGUUGUACUGUCGUGAAUAAAACAGAUGGUUGUUUUGACUGCAAGUCUCACAACAUCGCAAACGAUCUAAAGUUCCUUGAAUGUCCCUUUCAGCCAUAAUCCCAUAAUAUUCUUAUUCUGAAUUUUUAAAACUCGAAUAUUCUGAUUUGUCUCCUUAAGUUUUUGUUGAUCCACUUCAUGGAGUCUGUUGUAACGAUGACCGUUCUCCUGAUCUCAUCUUUACAAUUAGCCCCAGAUCGAGGUUCAGCGGGAUAUCAACGCUAAAUGAGCCUGGGACUUACUGUGACCUUUUUGGAAAGCUCGUUCUGGGAAACGCGGAUUCAGCUCGAAAGUAAAAGCUAUGCAAAUUAAUGUAUUGUGUGAUAUUGUGCAACACACCAACUGUGCCAAGAUGUGAAAUUUUACCUUUCUUGGAGAUUAUUAUUAUGAUGAUUAUUAAAAAUACAUGCUCCCAAACUUACUUCGUUACUUGACACUACUGGCCUUAUGAGUUAUGUAAUGCUAAUAGUGUUAGUUUUCCCGGAAUUUAAUAAAUCAAGGCUCGAGUAUUUAAA
Paramuricea clavata is the source of this 16173-nucleotide non-coding RNA. The record is from the annotation of a GenBank genome assembly. Lineage: Eukaryota; Metazoa; Cnidaria; Anthozoa; Malacalcyonacea; Plexauridae.